UACGGAGGGUGCAAGCGUUAUCCGGAUUUAUUGGGUUUAAAGGGUACGUAGGCGGCUUAGUAAGUCAGUGGUGAAAGUCAGCGGCUUAACUGUUGAACUGCCAUUGAUACUGCUUUGCUUGAGUGCAGUUGAGGUGGGUGGAAUUCCAUGUGUAACGGUGAAAUGCUUAGAUAUAUGGAGGAACACCGAUAACGAAGGUAACUCACUAAACUGUAACUGACGCUGAGGUACGAAAGCGUGGGGAGCAAACAGG
Molecule: ribosomal RNA, 253 nt
Filed under: uncultured bacterium
Lineage: Bacteria
Description: partial 16S ribosomal RNA
Rfam family: Bacterial small subunit ribosomal RNA
Source: RNAcentral